UGGGCUAGGAAAAAUGAUUGGAUAAAAAAUAUUAUUCUAUUCAUUUAUCUCCCAGCCUACA
Molecule: non-coding RNA, 61 nt
Filed under: Canis lupus familiaris (dog)
Lineage: Eukaryota; Metazoa; Chordata; Mammalia; Carnivora; Canidae
Also listed under: 1 other name
Source: RNAcentral